AGUGGCGGACGGGUGAGUAAUGCGUGAGCAACCUACCCUUCAGAGGGGGACAACAGUUGGAAACGACUGCUAAUACCGCAUAAAGUAUGUAGACCGCAUGGUCUGUAUACCAAAGAUUUAUCGCUGAAGGAUGGGCUCACGUCUGAUUAGUUAGUUGGUAGGGUAACGGCCUACCAAGACUGCGAUCAGUAGCCGGACUGAGAGGUUGACCGGCCACAUUGGGACUGAGAUACGGCCCAGACUCCUACGGGAGGCAGCAGUGGGGAAUAUUGGGCAAUGGGGGAAACCCUGACCCAGCAACGCCGCGUGAAGGAAGAAGGCUUUCGGGUUGUAAACUUCUUUUAGCGGGGACGAAAAAAAUGACGGUACCUGCAGAAUAAGCUCCGGCUAACUACGUGCCAGCAGCCGCGGUAAUACGUAGGGAGCAAGCGUUAUCCGGAUUUACUGGGUGUAAAGGGCGCGCAGGCGGAAUGGAAAGUCAGUGGUGAAAUCCUACAGCUUAACUGUAGAACUGCCUUUGAUACUUUCAUUCUUGAGUUCGGGAGAGAGAGACGGAAUUCCAGGUGUAGUGGUGAAAUACGU
RNAcentral lists this ribosomal RNA (582 nucleotides) under uncultured compost bacterium. RNAcentral's name for it is "bacterial SSU rRNA". It matches the Rfam family "Bacterial small subunit ribosomal RNA", at positions 94 to 691 of the family's 1533-position model. The record is from RNAcentral.